Molecule: ribosomal RNA, 570 nt
Filed under: uncultured bacterium
Lineage: Bacteria
Description: bacterial SSU rRNA
Rfam family: Bacterial small subunit ribosomal RNA
Source: RNAcentral
CCUACGGGAGGCAGCAGUGGGGAAUAUUGCACAAUGGGCGCAAGCCUGAUGCAGCAACGCCGCGUGAGGGACGACGGCCUUCGGGUUGUAAACCUCUUUUAGUAGGGAAGAAGCGAAGGUGACGGUACCUGCAGAAAAAAGCACCGGCUAACUACGUGCCAGCAGCCGCGGUAAUACGUAGGGUGCAAGCGUUAUCCGGAAUUAUUGGGCGUAAAGAGCUCGUAGGCGGUUUGUCACGUCUGCUGUGAAAACUGGAGGCUCAACCUCCAGCCUGCAGUGGGUACGGGCAGACUAGAGUGCGGUAGGGGAGAUUGGAAUUCCUGGUGUAGCGGUGGAAUGCGCAGAUAUCAGGAGGAACACCGAUGGCGAAGGCAGAUCUCUGGGCCGUAACUGACGCUGAGGAGCGAAAGCAUGGGGAGCGAACAGGAUUAGAUACCCUGGUAGUCCAUGCCGUAAACGUUGGGAACUAGAUGUAGGGACCAUUCCACGGUUUCUGUGUCGCAGCUAACGCAUUAAGUUCCCCGCCUGGGGAGUACGGCCGCAAGGCUAAACGUCAAAUUGAAUUGACGG